This is a long non-coding RNA of Salvia miltiorrhiza (redroot sage), 376 nucleotides long. RefSeq lists it as uncharacterized. Lineage: Eukaryota; Viridiplantae; Streptophyta; Magnoliopsida; Lamiales; Lamiaceae. The transcript has 2 exons. The record is from RefSeq and is a predicted model, not a curated record.
GCUUUGUGACGAGGGGGACUAGCGCUGCUUUCCCAAGACAGGUUUUUAUGUGUAUGAUCUUCAGGCUUUGCCUAUCCAGGUUGAGCAGCUGAUGGAAUGGAAUGAUGUUGAGCGGGUGUUCUUUUGACAUUUCAAGAAAUGUAACCUUGAGUAUACAUCUUCAUAUGUAUAUCUCACACGUUUUUCCGCUGCAAAACACUUUUAUUAGAAUAACUCUAUGUUAUGAAGUUGUGACACGUGUUAUUGGAUAACCCACCUUAAUCAGUUCUCCUUCAUGUGUAUGUUUUAUAAGUAUCCAAAUGAUCAUAUAUGAUCCUAGCAUCUUAUCUAUGAGUGACAUUCUCAUAUACCUUAAUGUUAAGUAAUUGUCCAUUUC